GCCAGGCAUAGUGGUGCAGGCUUGUAAUCCCAAUGGCUUGGGAGGCUGAGGCAGGAGGAUCACAAGUUCAAAACCAGCCUCAGCAAUUUAGUGAGACCCUGUCUCAA
This 107-nucleotide small RNA is filed under the name Marmota monax (woodchuck). Lineage: Eukaryota; Metazoa; Chordata; Mammalia; Rodentia; Sciuridae. The record is from RNAcentral.